RNAcentral lists this ribosomal RNA (494 nucleotides) under uncultured bacterium. RNAcentral's name for it is "partial 16S ribosomal RNA". It matches the Rfam family "Bacterial small subunit ribosomal RNA", at positions 28 to 507 of the family's 1533-position model. The record is from RNAcentral.
GACGAACGCUGGCGGCGUGCUUAACACAUGCAAGUCGAACGGAAAGGCCUGCUUUCCCUUGUGGAUUGCGGGUACUCGAGUGGCGAACGGGUGAGUAACACGUGAGUGAUCUGCCCCCAACUUGGGUAUAAGCCUGGGAAACUGGGUCUAAUUCCCGAUAGGACUGCAGGGUGGUGCCUGUGGUUGAAAACGAUUUUCUAGUGGUUGGGGAUGAGCUCGCGGCCUAUCAGCUUGUUGGUGGGGUAAUGGCCUACCAAGGCGGCGACGGGUAGCCGGCCUGAGAGGGUGGACGGCCACAUUGGGACUGAGAUACGGCCCAGACUCCUACGGGAGGCAGCAGUGGGGAAUAUUGCACAAUGGGCGGAAGCCUGAUGCAGCGACGCCGCGUGGGGGAUGACGGCCUUCGGGUUGUAAACUCCUUUCGACCGCGAGGAAGCCACCUGGUUGGAAGGGUGGUGACGGUAGUGGUAGAAGAAGCACCGGCUAACUACGUG